UGGUGCAUGACAUAAAUGUCAUGCAAGUGGUGUGUGUGAAAUGGAAUUCAUCUUUACACACCCAUCACCAUUUCUUACACCAUUUAAACAAAUAUCUAACACAUUAAAUCAUUUGAAAAACAUAAAACAUAAACUUUAUGAAAUAAAUCAAAACUUUGAAUCAAAACACAAAACCUUUUUGUUCUUGGCAAAAAUGUCAAGAACAAUGAAGAACAUUCAUGAAAAACCCAAAAAAUUUCCAUGAACAUUUUCACUCCAAAAAACAUCCCAAAACCAUUCAAACUUUAGGGAAAUAACAUAUAACCAAACUAGGGUACAUAGGGGUUCCAAAAG
RNAcentral lists this long non-coding RNA (333 nucleotides) under Malus domestica (apple). Its description in RNAcentral is "long non-coding RNA (MDOM_LNC000248)". Lineage: Eukaryota; Viridiplantae; Streptophyta; Magnoliopsida; Rosales; Rosaceae. The record is from RNAcentral.